Molecule: ribosomal RNA, 372 nt
Filed under: uncultured Glomeromycotina
Lineage: Eukaryota; Fungi; Glomeromycota
Description: LSU rRNA
Source: RNAcentral
UUGAAAGGGAAACGAUUGAAGUCAGUCGUACCUAUGGGUAAUCAGCCUUUUGGGUGUGAUUUUGUGGAGCGUGAGGAGUUAAACGCCUUCAUGCCUGCAUAUUCGUGCACUUUGGGUGUACUUGCCCGUGUGUAAGUUAACAUCAAUUUUGGUGGUCAUAAAAUGGCUGGAGGAAUGUAGCUUCGAUCUUGUAUUGAAGUGUUAUAGCCUUUGGUAGAUGUGGUUUUCGAGAUUGAGGAUUGCAACGGAUACCCUUCGGGGCUACCUAUCUGAUCUCUGAUCGUUGCUCUGGUGGCGAAAGCUUGCUUACGGAUAUCAAAGUCGAUGGUCAAUAGGUUAGAAUAGGUUAAAUUCGUUAAGGAUGUUGACGUA